UACGGAAGAUGCGGGCGUUAUCCGGAUUUAUUGGGUUUAAAGGGAGCGUAGGCGGCCCUGUAAGUCAGCGGUGAAAUGGCGCGGCUCAACCGCGUCCUGCCGUUGAAACUGCGGGGCUUGAGUCUGCACAGGGCACAUGGAACUCGUGGUGUAGCGGUGAAAUGCUUAGAUAUCACGAAGAACCCCGAUCGCGAAGGCAUUGUGCCGGGGCAGCACUGACGCUGAGGCUCGAAAGUGCGGGUAUCAAACAGG
Molecule: ribosomal RNA, 252 nt
Filed under: Paraprevotella clara YIT 11840
Lineage: Bacteria; Pseudomonadati; Bacteroidota; Bacteroidia; Bacteroidales; Prevotellaceae
Description: partial 16S ribosomal RNA
Rfam family: Bacterial small subunit ribosomal RNA
Source: RNAcentral